UGCAGUCGAACGAACUUAACCAUUAGUUUACUAUUGGAGCGGUUAGUGGCGGACUGGUGAGUAACACGUAAGCAACCUGCCUAUCAGAGGGGAACAACAGUUAGAAAUGACUGCUAAUACCGCAUAUGCCUUAGAAUCACAUGGUUCAAAAGGGAAAGGAGCAAUCCGCUGAUAGAUGGGCUUGCGUCUGAUUAGCUAGUUGGUGGGGUAAUGGCCUACCAAGGCGACGAUCAGUAGCCGAACUGAGAGGUUGAACGGCCACAUUGGGACUGAGAUACGGCCCAGACUCCUACGGGAGGCAGCAGUCGGGGAUAUUGCGCAAUGGAGGAAACUCUGACGCAGUGACGCCGCGUGCAGGAAGAAGGUUUUCGGAUUGUAAACUGCUUUAGACAGGGAAGAACAAAGACAGUACCUGUAGAAUAAGCUCCGGCUAACUACGUGCCAGCAGCCGCGGUAAUACGUAGGGAGCGAGCGUUAUCCGGAUUUAUUGGGUGUAAAGGGUGCGUAGACGGGAAGUCAAGUUAGUUGUGAAAUCCCUCGGCUUAACUGAGGAACUGCAACUAAAACUGAUUUUCUUGAGUACUGGAGAGGAAAGUGGAAUUCCUAGUGUAGCGGUGAAAUGCGUAGAUAUUAGGAGGAACACCGGUGGCGAAGGCGACUUUCUGGACAGAAACUGACGUUGAGGCACGAAAGUGUGGGGAGCAAACAGGAUUAGAUACCCUGGUAGUCCACACCGUAAACGAUGGAUACUAGGUGUAGGGGAUAUUAAAUUCUCUGUGCCGCCGCUAACGCAAUAAGUAUCCCACCUGGGGAGUACGGCCGCAAGGUUGAA
RNAcentral lists this ribosomal RNA (832 nucleotides) under uncultured bacterium. Its description in RNAcentral is "bacterial SSU rRNA". It matches the Rfam family "Bacterial small subunit ribosomal RNA", at positions 56 to 898 of the family's 1533-position model. The record is from RNAcentral.